Molecule: ribosomal RNA, 473 nt
Filed under: uncultured organism
Description: partial 16S ribosomal RNA
Rfam family: Bacterial small subunit ribosomal RNA
Source: RNAcentral
ACUCCUACGGGAGGCAGCAGUGGGGAAUAUUGCACAAUGUGCGCAAGCCUGAUGCAGCCAUGCCGCGUGUAUGAAGAAGGCCUUCGGGUUGUAAAGUACUUUCAGCGGGGAGGAAGGCGAUAAGGUUAAUAACCUUGUUGAUUGACGUUACCCGCAGAAGAAGCACCGGCUAACUCCGUGCCAUCAGCCGCGGUAAUACGGAGGGUGCAAUCGUUAAUCGGAAUUACUGGGCGUAAAGCGCACGCAGGCGGUCUGUCAAGUCGGAUGUGAAAUCCCCGGGCUCAACCUGGGAACUGCAUUCGAAACGGGCAGGCUAGAGUCUGGUAGAGGGGGGUAGAAUUCCAGGUGUAGCGGUGAAAUGCGUAGAGAUCUGGAGGAAUACCGGUGGCGAAGGCGGCCCCCUGGACAAAGACUGACGCUCAGGUGCGAAAGCGUGGGGAGCAAACAGGAUUAGAUACCCUUGUAGUCCCAUG